AUGAACGCUGGCGGGCGUGCUUAACACAUGCAAGUCGAAACGGUGAAACACGGAGCUUGCUCUGUGGGAUCAGUGGCGAACGGGUGAGUAACACGUGAGCAACCUGCCCCUGACUCUGGGAUAAGCGCUGGAAACGGCGUCUAAUACUGGAUAUGUGACGUGACCGCAUGGUCUGCGUCUGGAAAGAAUUUCGGUUGGGGAUGGGCUCGCGGCCUAUCAGCUUGUUGGUGAGGUAAUGGCUCACCAAGGCGUCGACGGGUAGCCGGCCUGAGAGGGUGACCGGCCACACUGGGACUGAGACACGGCCCAGACUCCUACGGGAGGCAGCAGUGGGGAAUAUUGCACAAUGGGCGCAAGCCUGAUGCAGCAACGCCGCGUGAGGGACGACGGCCUUCGGGUUGUAAACCUCUUUUAGCAGGGAAGAAGCGAAAGUGACGGUACCUGCAGAAAAAGCGCCGGCUAACUACGUGCCAGCAGCCGCGGUAAUACGUAGGGCGCAAGCGUUAUCCGGAAUUAUUGGGCGUAAAGAGCUCGUAGGCGGUUUGUCGCGUCUGCUGUGAAAUCCGGAGGCUCAACCUCCGGCCUGCAGUGGGUACGGGCAGACUAGAGUGCGGUAGGGGAGAUUGGAAUUCCUGGUGUAGCGGUGGAAUGCGCAGAUAUCAGGAGGAACACCGAUGGCGAAGGCAGAUCUCUGGGCCGUAACUGACGCUGAGGAGCGAAAGGGUGGGGAGCAAACAGGCUUAGAUACCCUGGUAGUCCACCCCGUAAACGUUGGGAACUAGUUGUGGGGUCCAUUCCACGGAUUCCGUGACGCAGCUAACGCAUUAAGUUCCCCGCCUGGGGAGUACGGCCGCAAGGCUAAAACUCAAAGGAAUUGACGGGGACCCGCACAAGCGGCGGAGCAUGCGGAUUAAUUCGAUGCAACGCGAAGAACCUUACCAAGGCUUGACAUAUACGAGAACGGGCCAGAAAUGGUCAACUCUUUGGACACUCGUAAACAGGUGGUGCAUGGU
This 1013-nucleotide ribosomal RNA is filed under the name Microbacterium oxydans. RNAcentral's name for it is "bacterial SSU rRNA". It matches the Rfam family "Bacterial small subunit ribosomal RNA", at positions 29 to 1049 of the family's 1533-position model. Lineage: Bacteria; Bacillati; Actinomycetota; Actinomycetes; Micrococcales; Microbacteriaceae. The record is from RNAcentral.